Peromyscus leucopus (white-footed mouse) is the source of this 2182-nucleotide long non-coding RNA. RefSeq lists it as uncharacterized. The transcript has 4 exons. Lineage: Eukaryota; Metazoa; Chordata; Mammalia; Rodentia; Cricetidae. The record is from RefSeq and is a predicted model, not a curated record.
UUUGGUUACAGGACAUGAACAAAUGACGUUUGAACUGCUCAAGAAGCUUCCUUUCUGCUGACCAGCUAUCAUAAUACUGAAAAGUGCUAAAAACCAUGAGUAGUCUUGCCUAGCUGCGAAGCCUGUGAACUACAGUAGUGACCAGCGGGAGAAGAUUUGCCAAGGGCUGUAAUAGUGGCAUGGAUGUUAUAGAGAUGGAGGUUAAGGCAGGAACUCACAAAUGGUAACGCACGGAGAAUAAGUGUCUGUGGAGUGCUUAGCUACAGAUGCGGAGUCUACAUCACUUCUAUCUCUGAGGUCCCAGACCAUAGCCGAAGAGAGGGCGGAAGAAGUUGAGAGCCAGAGGUGGAGCAAUCUUGGGGAGUCCAUCCACUAUUUGUGGAGCUCUGUUUGUGGAUGUGGAUGUUUUGACCUCUUCAGUCUCAGACUUGGUGUUAGUAUUACCAGCUGAAGAAGCUGGGAAGCAGAAAGCCUGUGAGAAGAACCCAAAGUCAAGAUGGGGAGAGGUCUUAACACGAGAAGAGCCGACGAUGACAUCUGACACCGAGGGUGGUUUUUUACAGAAGUUCUGAAGCUGAGAUGCUGUAAAGGAGAACUGUGGUGGCUGUGAAGUAGUUGGAGGGAAGGAGUCUUGACAUAAAAGUCAAACCACGAUGAUCCCGUCUGAAUGCCAGAGGGCAUGCGCACUUUUACAAGCUUGGAUAUUAUUGGCACAGGAAGCACAACAUAUGCUUAAAUGUGGAUUUCCUUUGCUAUUUGGAGACCCUUUCCCUGUUGUGCCGUUUUGGUAGGUUGCCAUUCCCCUCCCUUUGGUUGGCUUGGAUAGAGUAUCUCUUGCCUUGGAUCUUACAGAUCCAAGCCUGGUAGCACCUGGUCAGGGUGAGAACAAGAAAAAGACUACUCCUGAGGAUUUCCCAGUCCUGGAUGUAUGGGCCCUCCAUGAUUCUCUCUCCUUCUGUAACACGAGACCCCAGGUUUUGCCCAGAGUACUUAGGAGAGAAAGAGAACAUAUAAUGAAUGCUAGAACUUCAUCAAGAAGGCUGUCUUGGUUACAUUUCUAUUGCUGUGGUAAAAUGCCAUGACCAAGGCAACUUAUAAAAAGAAGGCUCUUAAUUUGACAUAGCUUCAGAAGGUUAGAGUUCAUGGCGGUGCCAUGAAGGUAUAGCUGAGUGCUUACAUCUUGAUCUACAACUGAGAGAGCGAGAAAGAAUAUGCCCACUGGCAUUAGUAGGAGUCUUUUGAAACCUCAUAGGCCACUCCCAGUGACAUAUCUUCCCUAACAAGGUAGUACCCUCCUAAUCCUUCUCAAACAGUUCCACCAGCUGGGGACCAAGUAGUCAAAUAUGUGAGCCCAUGCGGAUAAUUCUCCUUCAAAUCAUCGGAAGAGAUAAAUAAAGAAGGGCUCCAGUGAGUUGGAAUCCGGGACAGUGUCACCAUUUGUAAUCCUUCAGGUCAGAACUAUCUUUGGGAUCCCCAUAUUGAAUUCCAAACAAAGCCACAUCUUUUACAGCUGCUUCCUUUGUGAUUUGGGAGCCUGCAGCAACUACCUGAGGGAAAACACGCAGGUGGUCAUUCUAGUGACUGAGAACUUCCCCACAGUGCACCAGAGAUUCUCACCGACUAGUGAUUGACAACUUGGAAUUCUGCAUUUCAAGAGCUGCGGAUCAGUUCCAGGGGCCAUAGGUUACAUGGCCGGUUGUUGAGCACGGACUCUCAACAUACAUUUCCUAAACCAUUUAGCCUUGUACUGUGAUAAUGGACCAUUGGUGUGAGAAAGGACCUUAACUAUCACAUAUGAUCGGUGAGUCUCUUUACUCAGAUGGCCUGUGACCAACUGGGGGAAAGGAGGGCGAUCAUUCUUUUUGUUCUGAAUCUAUAGUGCAGCUUGGUUCGACUAGACCAUCUCAUAAAUCAUAGUGAGUUGUAUGUUUCAAGAUAUCGAUGGACAAAAUGAGUCUUUAUGGGCACCCUGGGCCCCUAACUGAAGUUACUUCUCAGAUAAUGCCUCCUGCUUCUUGUCAGUUUUCUUUUACCCUUUACCUGUGUAUCUGUAGUUUUUCCUGUACCAGGUUUCAGCUGAAAUGUCAGAAGAGGCGAGGCUUGAGGUUAAAUCACAGCUCUGCUGGUUUGGGACUUUGUCACAUCCAAUGAGUCAUCUCUCUGCAGUAAGUCUCGGGCUCCC